RNAcentral lists this ribosomal RNA (492 nucleotides) under uncultured bacterium. Its description in RNAcentral is "partial 16S ribosomal RNA". It matches the Rfam family "Bacterial small subunit ribosomal RNA", at positions 29 to 507 of the family's 1533-position model. The record is from RNAcentral.
AGUGAACGCUGGCGGUAGGCCUAACACAUGCAAGUCGAACGGCAGCACAGUAAGAGCUUGCUCUUACGGGUGGCGAGUGGCGGACGGGUGAGGAAUACAUCGGAAUCUACUUUUUCGUGGGGGAUAACGUAGGGAAACUUACGCUAAUACCGCAUACGAUCUACGGGUGAAAGCAGGGGAUCUUCGGACCUUGCGCGAUUGAAUGAGCCGAUGUCGGAUUAGCUAGUUGGCGGGGUAAAGGCCCACCAAGGCGACGAUCCGUAGCUGGUCUGAGAGGAUGAUCGGCCACACUGGAACUGAGACACGGUCCAGACUCCUACGGGAGGCAGCAGUAGGGAAUAUUGCGCAAUGGGCGAAAGCCUGAUCCAGCAACGCCGCGUGAGUGAUGAAGGCCUUCGGAUUGUAAAGCCCUUUUAUUAGGGAAGAAAAGAAGUGUAAGUAUACCUCGCCGUUUUGACGGUACCUAAAGAGAAAGCACCGGCUAACUACGUG